This 769-nucleotide ribosomal RNA is filed under the name uncultured Pseudoalteromonadaceae bacterium. RNAcentral describes it as "bacterial SSU rRNA". It matches the Rfam family "Bacterial small subunit ribosomal RNA", at positions 28 to 776 of the family's 1533-position model. Lineage: Bacteria; Pseudomonadati; Pseudomonadota; Gammaproteobacteria; Alteromonadales; Pseudoalteromonadaceae. The record is from RNAcentral.
AUUGAACGCUGGCGGCAGGCCUAACACAUGCAAGUCGAGCGGAAACGAGUUAUCUGAACCUUCGGGGGACGAUAACGGCGUCGAGCGGCGGACGGGUGAGUAAUGCCUAGGAAAUUGCCCUGAUGUGGGGGAUAACCAUUGGAAACGAUGGCUAAUACCGCAUGAUGCCUACGGGCCAAAGAGGGGGACCUUCGGGCCUCUCGCGUCAGGAUAUGCCUAGGUGGGAUUAGCUAGUUGGUGAGGUAAGGGCUCACCAAGGCAACGAUCCCUAGCUGGUCUGAGAGGAUGAUCAGCCACACUGGAACUGAGACACGGUCCAGACUCCUACGGGAGGCAGCAGUGGGGAAUAUUGCACAAUGGGCGCAAGCCUGAUGCAGCCAUGCCGCGUGUAUGAAGAAGGCCUUCGGGUUGUAAAGUACUUUCAGUCGUGAGGAAGGUGGUAGUGUUAAUAGCACUAUCAUUUGACGUUAGCGACAGAAGAAGCACCGGCUAACUCCGUGCCAGCAGCCGCGGUAAUACGGAGGGUGCGAGCGUUAAUCGGAAUUACUGGGCGUAAAGCGCAUGCAGGUGGUUUGUUAAGUCAGAUGUGAAAGCCCGGGGCUCAACCUCGGAAUAGCAUUUGAAACUGGCAGACUAGAGUACUGUAGAGGGGGGUAGAAUUUCAGGUGUAGCGGUGAAAUGCGUAGAGAUCUGAAGGAAUACCGGUGGCGAAGGCGGCCCCCUGGACAGAUACUGACACUCAGAUGCGAAAGCGUGGGGAGCAAACAGG